GGCCGGAGCACCCCGACAGCUGCCGCGUUUCGCUGCUGAUAUUGUCGCGGACCGCACACGCACUCACACACACACAUGCAUAUUUACUGAUUUCUUCUCUGUUUGGCUCCUCCGUUGCUGCUCUUUUAUUGGUGCAUGGCAGGACCGUUUUCUUUUUCCUUUUGUUGUCAUGGACAUCGUACAGCAACUCUUUCGGUGCGUGUUCGGCGCUCUGAGUCCGUCAUGGCGGGGGCGACACCGCUCAGUGCUUCGUACCUCAGGGUCCAGCACACCCGCUCUCUGUGUCGGGAAGCCAAGCAGCCCCUUAUGUCCCUGCCGAUGCCAGACCACCUCUGGCGCAGACAGGGUCAAGCACCCCACGGCGCAAGGAGGGGCCAGAGCGAGCCGCGACAGUGCAGACGUGUGCGCCAUCCAUGGGAUGGGCAAUGCGCCAGCCUGACCCGCACCUACCUCACCAGGCCCUCACACUGCCCUGCCGGUGGGGUGGUGGGGAGCCUGGGCCACCCCGAUGGCGGCACCGCGUGGCGACCGGCACAAUGCGAGCGGCUGUGCGGCGACCUGCGAGGCGGGGAUGGUGGGCGGAGUCUGAGUCCGAGGCGAUGCUCCGAUGAAUGAGUAGGCGCAUCGCUGUAACGUGCGUGUGUGUGCGCGUGUUCGGCUGCUUCGCACGACGCGGAUGGGGGCCUGUGACAGGGCUGGUGUGUGUGUGUGUGGUGUGCGUGUGGUGGUGGGGAGGUGCAGCUUAGUUUGACCUCAUGCUCUAUGGCCGGAGUACUGCACAUGGCGAAAGAAGAACUGUUCGCUGCUUUCCUGUAUCCCUCCACGCUGUUCUCGGGACAGGGCGGUGCGAUAUGACCGGCGGGGCGCUCGGCUUGCCGUUACACUGUACACUGAAGGUGCGCUGCUUUGCUCUACCCGGCC
This 921-nucleotide unclassified non-coding RNA is filed under the name Leishmania donovani. Its description in RNAcentral is "gene:unknown". The record is from RNAcentral. Lineage: Eukaryota; Euglenozoa; Kinetoplastea; Trypanosomatida; Trypanosomatidae.